GGAGCGGGCCGGACGGCCGCGCCGACCACUCGUCUUGUGCGGGUGCAGCCGGUGAGGAAAGUCCGGACUCCGCAGGGCAGGAUGCCAGUUAACGACUGGGCGCGGCGACGCGACGGAAAGUGCCACAGAAAAGAAAACUCCGUCCGUGUGUUACUUUUUUGGCUUUGGAUGGCCGCAGGCGUGGUCAUCCAAAGCCAAAAAAGUAACACACGGACGGAAAAGCUGAAACGGUGUGGUAAGAGCGCACCAGCGUGCGGGUAACCGCACGGCUUGGCAAACCCCAUCCGGAGCAAUGGCAAAUAGGAGCGCGACGGGUUGGCCCGACCCGCGCUCGGGUUGCCAGCUUGAGGGUCUUGGCGACAAGGCUCCCAGAUAAAUGGUCGUCCCGGCCCGAUGUCCCUUACACCCCUUGGGGGCAACGGGCUAUGACAGAAUCCGGCUUACAGGCCCGCUCCAGAU
Molecule: RNase P RNA, 459 nt
Filed under: Coriobacteriales bacterium
Lineage: Bacteria; Bacillati; Actinomycetota; Coriobacteriia; Coriobacteriales
Description: RNase P RNA component class A
Rfam family: Bacterial RNase P class A
About the family: Ribonuclease P (RNase P) is a ubiquitous endoribonuclease, found in archaea, bacteria and eukarya as well as chloroplasts and mitochondria. Its best characterised activity is the generation of mature 5'-ends of tRNAs by cleaving the 5'-leader elements of precursor-tRNAs. Cellular RNase Ps are ribonucleoproteins.
Source: RNAcentral